AUUAAAUAUGGUGACAUCUAGUGCACUGUCUACUGUCUGUUAAGGGCUUCCUGUUUAUACAUGGAUCUGUGUUACGUUCAAGUUUCACAGUGAUGAAAUGAAUGCUAAUUUAGUGUAAAUGUCUAAGCUUUUGGAUUCACCUGUAACACUGUAUGACUGAGGGAGCGCGUAGCAGCGGGUGCAGUACACCCUCCGAGACAAUGAUGUCACUGUUGCAGCAAACAGGAUGAAUUUCAACCACCCCAAAACUACAACAGGAAGAAGAAGAAAAGAAAAGUCAAUCAGGUGCCAGUUUUUGUGUGACUUUUACAGUCAUCACGGUUGAAAAUGCCGGUAAAACACCCCUGCAAAUGGGACAUGCUGAUAUUGGACUCUCUGCUGUCUAAAUUGGAGCAAUCGCCGAAUGCAUUCAUCAGGGCCAGGGAUGAGCUUGAGGAAAUAUUCGUGCCACGAGGAAGGCUAGCUCCUAUGAAUUCCUAAAGUCCAUCAUGAACUAAGGUUUUUGUUUUUUGCGAGGCAUCCCCGCCGCUGACAGCUAAUGGAAUUGCUCUUCACCUCCCGUGAAGCACGGUGCGUAUGAUCCCACGGUGGUAAAACUGGAGAUGGAUGUGGAAUCUGCGCUUGUCAGUUGCGAGGCCGAGAUGUCUCGGAUGCCGUCAUUCGUUUGCCCAAGAAGCGCCUGCAACUUUAAGAGGCAAAUCAUCCGUCAUGUUAGCCGCGUCUAUCCUUCUGUCACAUUUGGAUUACGCACAAAAAAAAAAACCCAAUCCAGCAACUUUGUGCAAAUAAUGUUCUUUCCAUCCGUGACUCUCAUCUCAUUUGUGGCUGAAAGUGUGCAAUCCUGUCCACCUCUGCAGUUUAACACCUUGGAAAAGUAAGAGUGUGUGUGAGGGGGAUCGGGAAUGGGGGGGGUCUUACAACACAGUAGUCUCUUUAUUUGGCAGUGCCUGGGAAGGCCGAGGCCUCUCACUGCACGAGUCGACCUAAGCAACAGCUGCUGUUCACAGCAACAUUUCCUAUUUCUGCAUAAGGUGGAUCGUGUAACUCUCACUUUAACGCCCUUAGAGGCCACGUGAAGGACAAAGCCAGCACAGCCGUAAACAUAACUAAUGUUUUCAUCCAGCCGUUCAGCGUUCCAAUUUGAUUUCACUGCUUCCAAAGUCAAACUGUCAGUCCUGAUUAGAGGAAGGAACCCGAGUUCCACACCAAGACUUCCCUUGAGCUCCCAUUAGUGCAAAGUUUCAACGAGGAUACAGGAAGUACUCAGUGUACCAGUACGAUAAUCCUAACGGAAUUGAGAUGCAGUAUCCUAAGUAGCAGUUGACCUUGUUACUGUGGUAACAAAUAUUUACCUUUGAUCAAAGUCUCAAAAUGUUGAAUGACGGAUCUACUCCCACCACUAGGUACAUGAUGAAGCAUUUAUUCCAUCGUUAUUCCACCGUUUAAACAUGAUUUUAAUGUUUUUGUCUUUUUUUGAUGGACUCAAAUAAAUAUAUGCUCGUUUGUUCAAGUCAUUCAU
Doryrhamphus excisus (bluestripe pipefish) is the source of this 1519-nucleotide non-coding RNA. The record is from RefSeq and is a predicted model, not a curated record. Lineage: Eukaryota; Metazoa; Chordata; Actinopteri; Syngnathiformes; Syngnathidae.